GAUGAACGCUAGCGGCAGGCCUAAUACAUGCAGGUCGAACGGGUGGUCGCAAGACCACUAGUGGCGCACGGGUGCGUAACGCGUAACCAACCUGCCCCGAUCUGGGGGAUAGCCCGCCGAAAGGCGGAUUAAUACCGCAUAUACCCGCAGCCUGGCAUCAGGCAACGGGGAAAGAUUUAUUGGAUCGGGAUGGGGUUGCGUGACAUUAGCUAGUUGGCGGGGUAAGGGCCCACCAAGGCGACGAUGUCUAGGGGACCUGAGAGGGUGAUCCCCCACACUGGCACUGAGAUACGGGCCAGACUCCUACGGGAGGCAGCAGUAGGGAAUAUUAGGCAAUGGGCGAGAGCCUGACCCAGCCAUGCCGCGUGCCGGAUGAAGGCCUUCUGGGUUGUAAACGGCUUUUCUCAGGGAAGAAAAAGACCUUGCGAGGUACACUGACGGUACCUGAGGAAUAAGCACCGGCUAACUCCGUG
This 473-nucleotide ribosomal RNA is filed under the name uncultured bacterium. Its description in RNAcentral is "partial 16S ribosomal RNA". It matches the Rfam family "Bacterial small subunit ribosomal RNA", at positions 28 to 507 of the family's 1533-position model. The record is from RNAcentral.